RNAcentral lists this small RNA (29 nucleotides) under Bombyx mori (domestic silkworm). RNAcentral describes it as "ovarian small RNA-32328". The record is from RNAcentral. Lineage: Eukaryota; Metazoa; Arthropoda; Insecta; Lepidoptera; Bombycidae.
UGAUAACACUGUCUGGUCAAUCCAUGCCU